Molecule: ribosomal RNA, 713 nt
Filed under: Vibrio sp. 7B10
Lineage: Bacteria; Pseudomonadati; Pseudomonadota; Gammaproteobacteria; Vibrionales; Vibrionaceae
Description: bacterial SSU rRNA
Rfam family: Bacterial small subunit ribosomal RNA
Source: RNAcentral
ACGCUGGCGGCAGGCCUAACACAUGCAAGUCGAGCGGUAACAGGAAUUAGCUUGCUAAUUUGCUGACGAGCGGCGGACGGGUGAGUAAUCCCUGGGAAUAUGCCUUAGUGUGGGGGAUAACUAUUGGAAACGAUAGCUAAUACCGCAUAACGUCUUCGGACCAAAGAGGGGGACCUUCGGGCCUCUCGCGCUAAGAUUAGCCCAGGUGGGAUUAGCUAGUUGGUGAGGUAAAGGCUCACCAAGGCAACGAUCCCUAGCUGGUCUGAGAGGAUGAUCAGCCACACUGGAACUGAGACACGGUCCAGACUCCUACGGGAGGCAGCAGUGGGGAAUAUUGCACAAUGGGGGAAACCCUGAUGCAGCCAUGCCGCGUGUAUGAAGAAGGCCUUCGGGUUGUAAAGUACUUUCAGUCGUGAGGAAGGGUAUGUAGUUAAUAGCUGCRUGCCUUGACGUUAGCGACAGAAGAAGCACCGGCUAACUCCGUGCCAGCAGCCGCGGUAAUACGGAGGGUGCGAGCGUUAAUCGGAAUUACUGGGCGUAAAGCGCAUGCAGGCGGUCUGUUAAGCAAGAUGUGAAAGCCCGGGGCUCAACCUCGGAACCGCAUUUUGAACUGGCAGACUAGAGUCUUGUAGAGGGGGGUAGAAUUUCAGGUGUAGCGGUGAAAUGCGUAGAGAUCUGAAGGAAUACCGGUGGCGAAGGCGGCCCCCUGGACA